GGGUUUGAUUCUGGCUCAGAUUGAACGCUGGCGGAAUGCUUUACACAUGCAAGUCGAACGGCAGCACGGACUUCGGUCUGGUGGCGAGUGGCGAACGGGUGAGUAAUAUAUCGGAACGUGCCCAGUCGUGGGGGAUAACGUAGUGAAAAUUACGCUAAUACCGCAUACGAUCUAAGGAUGAAAGCGGGGGAUCGCAAGACCUCGCGCGAUUGGAGCGGCCGAUAUCAGAUUAGGUAGUUGGUGAGGUAAAGGCUCACCAAGCCGACGAUCUGUAGCUGGUCUGAGAGGACGACCAGCCACACUGGAACUGAGACACGGUCCAGACUCCUACGGGAGGCAGCAGUGGGGAAUUUUGGACAAUGGACGCAAGUCUGAUCCAGCCAUUCCGCGUGCAGGACGAAGGCCUUCGGGUUGUAAACUGCUUUUGUACAGAACGAAAAGGUCUCUAUUAAUACUAGGGGCUCAUGACGGUACUGUAAGAAUAAGCACCGGCUAACUACGUGCCAGCAGCCGCGGUAAUACGUAGGGUGCAAGCGUUAAUCGGAAUUACUGGGCGUAAAGCGUGCGCAGGCGGUUAUAUAAGACAGAUG
Molecule: ribosomal RNA, 590 nt
Filed under: uncultured bacterium
Lineage: Bacteria
Description: bacterial SSU rRNA
Rfam family: Bacterial small subunit ribosomal RNA
Source: RNAcentral